This 682-nucleotide unclassified non-coding RNA is filed under the name Hevea brasiliensis (rubber tree). Lineage: Eukaryota; Viridiplantae; Streptophyta; Magnoliopsida; Malpighiales; Euphorbiaceae. The record is from RNAcentral.
CAUUGAAUUGAGAAUUUGACCAAACUGGACUACAUUAAUUCUCAAUCCUUGGGACAACCACAAAAAGAAUUUUUCAUUAAUUAAAAUUAAUCACCAUAAGCUACAAAUGGUUGAAUCCAAACUGCAAGUAUCUGUAGCCGAACUUGGCAUGAAUACAGAAUCCAAGACGACAAGUUAAGCAUCAAUGGCUAUGAAAAAAAUAAAUAAAUAAAUAUGCAGUGAGAUAAACGACAAAAGUAGUACUUCAAAAGCUCUCACCCCUCAAGCCAACAUUGAAUCUUAAAAAGAAUAUUCAGAAACAGCAUAGCAAAAGAACCUCAAAAUCAAAGCAACUCCAGACUACUAUUACGAACCAAAAUUUCCACUACCCAUAAAUGAUUCAAGCAGCACGCAGUGACAACAAGGCAAGAGAAUGAAAGGCACACAACCGAUUCCUCAACCGAUCAAAAACAAGUAACAAAAAGCGUACAGAGCUCGAAAGGGUUUGCUUGUACGGCACACAUUCACCACAACCCUCCAUCCCAAUUCACUGAGUCAUCAAGACAUCAACAGCCCACCACAAGCAACAUUCUAUUUUUUUAAGCUAGACCCAAAAUAUAUUUACCUCAGCGAAACCCAAAAAGCAAUCAGGCUUGAUCUUCUACUUAAAUUAUCAGAAAAUCAAAAAAUAAAUAAAUAAAUA